CGCUGGCGGCGUGCUUACACAUGCAAGUCGAACGGGAUCCAUCGGGCUUUGCUUGGUGGUGAGAGUGGCGAACGGGUGAAUAAUGCGUGACCGACCUGCCCCAUACACCGGAAUAGCUCCUGGAAACGGGUGGUAAUGCCGGAUGUUCCAGUUGAUCGCAUGGUCUUCUGGGAAAGCUUUCGCGGUAUGGGAUGGGGUCGCGUCCUAUCAGCUUGACGGCGGGGUAACGGCCCACCGUGGCUUCGACGGGUAGCCGGCCUGAGAGGGCGACCGGCCACAUUGGGACUGAGAUACGGCCCAGACUCCUACGGGAGGCAGCAGUGGGGAAUAUUGCACAAUGGGCGCAAGCCUGAUGCAGCGACGCCGCGUGAGGGAUGGAGGCCUUCGGGUUGUAAACCUCUUUUAUCGGGGAGCAAGCGUGAGUAGUGUACCCGUUGAAUAAGCACCGGUUAACUCGUGCCAGCAGCCGCGG
Molecule: ribosomal RNA, 472 nt
Filed under: Bifidobacterium longum subsp. infantis ATCC 15697 = JCM 1222 = DSM 20088
Lineage: Bacteria; Bacillati; Actinomycetota; Actinomycetes; Bifidobacteriales; Bifidobacteriaceae
Description: bacterial SSU rRNA
Rfam family: Bacterial small subunit ribosomal RNA
Source: RNAcentral